Steinernema glaseri is the source of this 119-nucleotide non-coding RNA. Lineage: Eukaryota; Metazoa; Nematoda; Chromadorea; Rhabditida; Steinernematidae. The record is from Rfam.
GUCUCUGGAGUCGACGCAGUUGACCGAGCAAUUCUUUCGCCUUUUACUAAAGAAUUCCGUGCGUCGACUCGCUUUAUGAGUUAACUCAAUUUUUGGAGUCCCGACCGCAAGGAAGGGAU